Molecule: ribosomal RNA, 715 nt
Filed under: uncultured Pseudomonadaceae bacterium
Lineage: Bacteria; Pseudomonadati; Pseudomonadota; Gammaproteobacteria; Pseudomonadales; Pseudomonadaceae
Description: SSU rRNA
Rfam family: Bacterial small subunit ribosomal RNA
Source: RNAcentral
GGUGAGUAAUGCCUAGGAAUCUGCCUGGUAGUGGGGGAUAACGUCCGGAAACGGGCGCUAAUACCGCAUACGUCCUGAGGGAGAAAGUGGGGGAUCUUCGGACCUCACGCUAUCAGAUGAGCCUAGGUCGGAUUAGCUAGUUGGUGGGGUAAAGGCCUACCAAGGCGACGAUCCGUAACUGGUCUGAGAGGAUGAUCAGUCACACUGGAACUGAGACACGGUCCAGACUCCUACGGGAGGCAGCAGUGGGGAAUAUUGGACAAUGGGCGAAAGCCUGAUCCAGCCAUGCCGCGUGUGUGAAGAAGAUCUUCGGAUUGUAAAGCACUUUAAGUUGGGAGGAAGGGCAGUAAGUUAAUACCUUGCUGUUUUGACGUUACCAACAGAAUAAGCACCGGCUAACUUCGUGCCAGCAGCCGCGGUAAUACGAAGGGUGCAAGCGUUAAUCGGAAUUACUGGGCGUAAAGCGCGCGUAGGUGGUUCAGCAAGUUGGAUGUGAAAUCCCCGGGCUCAACCUGGGAACUGCAUCCAAAACUACUGAGCUAGAGUACGGUAGAGGGUGGUGGAAUUUCCUGUGUAGCGGUGAAAUGGGUAGAUAUAGGAAGGAACACCAGUGGCGAAGGCGACCACCUGGACUGAUACUGACACUGAGGUGCGAAAGCGUGGGGAGCAAACAGGAUUAGAUAUCCUGGUAGUCCACGCCGUAAACGAUGUCGAC